CCUACGGGUGGCAGCAGUGAGGAAUAUUGGUCAAUGGCCGGAAGGCUGAACCAGCCAUGCCGCGUGAAGGUCAGUGCCCUAUGGGCGUUAAACUUCUUUUGUGCGGGAGCAAUAAUGGUCACGUGUGGCCAGACGAGAGUACCGUACGAAUAAGCAUCGGCUAACUCCGUGCCAGCAGCCGCGGUAAUACGGGUGAUGCAAGCGUUAUCCGGAGUUAUUGGGUUUAAAGGGUGCGUAGGCUGUGAGGGAAGUCAGCGGGGGAAUGCCCCCGCUCAAAGGGGUGAAGUGCCAUUGAUACUGCCUUGCUAGAAGGCGGAUGCCGUGGGAGGAAUGUGUGGUGGAGCGGUGAAAUGCAUAGAUAUCACACAGAACACCGAUUGCGAAGGCAUCUCACGAAUCCGCGAUUGACGCUGAUGCACGAAAGCGUGGGUAUCAAACAGGAUUAGAUACCCCAGUAGUC
RNAcentral lists this ribosomal RNA (460 nucleotides) under uncultured bacterium. RNAcentral describes it as "partial 16S ribosomal RNA". It matches the Rfam family "Bacterial small subunit ribosomal RNA", at positions 338 to 795 of the family's 1533-position model. The record is from RNAcentral.